ACAUGCAAGUCGAGCGGACAGAUGGGAGCUUGCUCCCUGAUGUUAGCGGCGGACGGGUGAGUAACACGUGGGUAACCUGCCUGUAAGACUGGGAUAACUCCGGGAAACCGGGGCUAAUACCGGAUGGUUGUUUGAACCGCAUGGUUCAGACAUAAAAGGUGGCUUCGGCUACCACUUACAGAUGGACCCGCGGCGCAUUAGCUAGUUGGUGAGGUAACGGCUCACCAAGGCGACGAUGCGUAGCCGACCUGAGAGGGUGAUCGGCCACACUGGGACUGAGACACGGCCCAGACUCCUACGGGAGGCAGCAGUAGGGAAUCUUCCGCAAUGGACGAAAGUCUGACGGAGCAACGCCGCGUGAGUGAUGAAGGUUUUCGGAUCGUAAAGCUCUGUUGUUAGGGAAGAACAAGUGCCGUUCAAAUAGGGCGGCACCUUGACGGUACCUAACCAGAAAGCCACGGCUAACUACGUGCCAGCAGCCGCGGUAAUACGUAGGUGGCAAGCGUUGUCCGGAAUUAUUGGGCGUAAAGGGCUCGCAGGCGGUUUCUUAAGUCUGAUGUGAAAGCCCCCGGCUCAACCGGGGAGGGUCAUUGGAAACUGGGGAACUUGAGUGCAGAAGAGGAGAGUGGAAUUCCACGUGUAGCGGUGAAAUGCGUAGAGAUGUGGAGGAACACCAGUGGCGAAGGCGACUCUCUGGUCUGUAACUGACGCUGAGGAGCGAAAGCGUGGGGAGCGAACAGGAUUAGAUACCCUGGUAGUCCACGCCGUAAACGAUGAGUGCUAAGUGUUAGGGGGGUUUCCGCCCCUUAGUGCUGCAGCUAACGCAUUAAGCACUCCGCCUGGGGAGUACGGUCGCAAGACUGAAACUCAAAGGAAUUGACGGGGGCCCGCACAAGCGGUGGAGCAUGUGGUUUAAUUCGAAGCAACGCGAAGAACCUUACCAGGUCUUGACAUCCUCUGACAAUCCUAGAGAUAGGACGUCCCCUUCGGGGGCAGAGUG
Molecule: ribosomal RNA, 1000 nt
Filed under: Bacillus sp. AR384
Lineage: Bacteria; Bacillati; Bacillota; Bacilli; Caryophanales; Bacillaceae
Description: bacterial SSU rRNA
Rfam family: Bacterial small subunit ribosomal RNA
Source: RNAcentral